This 375-nucleotide ribosomal RNA is filed under the name uncultured bacterium. RNAcentral describes it as "bacterial SSU rRNA". It matches the Rfam family "Bacterial small subunit ribosomal RNA", at positions 524 to 898 of the family's 1533-position model. The record is from RNAcentral.
UACGGGGGGUGCAAGCGUUAAUCGGAAUUACUGGGCGUAAAGGGUGCGUAGGUUGUUGUAUAAGUUAGUUGUGAAAUACCUGUGCUUAACGUGGGGGUGUCAACUAGUACUGUAUGACUUGAGUAAAGCAGAGGGUGGUGGAAUUUCCGGUGUAGCGGUGAAAUGCGUAGAGAUCGGAAGGAACAUCGGUGGCGAAGGCGACCACCUGGGCUAUUACUGACACUGAGGCACGAAAGCGUGGGUAGCAAACAGGAUUAGAUACCCUGGUAGUCCACGCUGUAAACGAUGUCAACUAGCUGUCUGAUACAUUAGAUAUUGGGUAGCGCAGCCAACGCGAUAAGUUGACCGCCUGGGGAGUACGGUCGCAAGAUUAAA